Long non-coding RNA from Oxyura jamaicensis (ruddy duck), 2697 nucleotides. RefSeq lists it as uncharacterized. The transcript has 3 exons. NCBI's taxonomy places the organism in Eukaryota, Metazoa, Chordata, Aves, Anseriformes, Anatidae. The record is from RefSeq and is a predicted model, not a curated record.
GAGAAGGACUGCAACUUUGGAAGUGUUGGUGCCCCUGUCCCUGGAGGUAUUUAAGGGACAUGUGGACAUGGCACAAAGGAAUAUGGUUUAGUGAUGGGACUCAGUGGGUCAGGUUGAUGGUUGGACUUGGUGAUCUUGAAGGUCUUCCAACCUCAAGGAUUCUAGGAUUCUGUUCUAUGAUUUACUGACAUAAAAGCACAUAUUCACCUUUAUGCCAUCAUACUUGCUGCAAGGAAUAAAAAGACUUUUUUUUUUUUUUUUUUCUUACAGAGAAAAAGUCUUUACUUUUGUAAUUGAAGUAACAAAAUUGUUUCCAAUAAAAAUGCUGAAUUACAUUGCUAUCUUUUGAGAAGCAAAAACCAUCACAGAUUGUGAGAACUGAAAGAAAAUGUUUCUCUGUCACCUUUCGGGUGAGAUGCUUGACAAUUAUCUAGCCAAAGAGAUAAAACCUUGAAAUUUUUUCUACUGGUGAAAGGCCUUUAACAUUUUAAAACUGUUAUAAAUUCUUCCUGUGUGGUGGCAAAUUCCUAGCAUUACAAGCAUAAACUAUAUGAACAAAGGCAAGGAGACUUGUACAGAGAUGUCUUAGAAUGGUCUCUCUCUGUCCCCUAACACAUGUAUGUAGGUUUACAUAAUGAACUACAAAUGUUGUUGAUCAAACUUGCAUCAUGGAUAAGAUUAACCAGGAUUUUUAAUAUGGUCCUCCGAGAUCUGGUAUAUCAAUAAAUCCUAUAAUUAAUUCUUGUAUAUAUGUGACUCUUGUUAGAAUUCACAACAUACUUCAGCCAAAGUUUUCUGUUGUAAACUCUCCACAUAGAUUGAAAAAAUGUUAGUUCAAUUUAACAUAGGUACUUCACAUUUCUAUUUUCAUCUUCGGUAUUUAAGUGUGAUUAUACAUUUUCAACGAUUAUUGUAUUUCCUAUUUUUAUUUUUACAGUUCUUUGAUUAUGGAUUGACUUACAUUGCCUCAAAACUUACAAUGUCUAUUCUGUAUAAGUCUCAAGUUAGGAAGAAGUCUUCCCCUGCUUUUCCUAAACACAAAUUUGAUUUAAUUUAUGCAUAAUUACCUGUUACAUAUGUACUUAUAUAUAUAACGUAAUAAGUUAUGUUGCAAAAUAUAUCUUUAAAAUUAUUAAAAUUGAAACAUAAAAUAUGUAGAAUGUGUUAAAGCUGCACAUCUGACCAAAAUUCAUGGUUGGUUCUAUGCUGUGGAUAUACUGAGAGCACCUAUGUCUUUAUUAAAUAAAAUAUAGCUGGAUUUUUUGGGGAAAAAAAAAAAAAAAAAAAAAAAGUUAAUUGAUUUGAUUUGGAAUAUAGAACUUCAAGAUAAAAUUAGUUCAAAUAGCAAUAAGGCUUUAGUCAAAAGCACUGGCAAGCCCUAACAUUGUAGUUGGUUAAUGUCUUUAUACAGUUUUGUUCUGAGUAAAUAAACGGGAUGAGAUCCAGGCUGCCCUGAAAUCAAUGUUAGUUCCAUUCAUUUCAUUAGUGCUUAUUGACUUAAGUAGAUUUAUUCAUCUGUUCAAGGUAGACAUACAUUUAUCUUCUUUGCUGAAUAAACACUAAUUCUGAACGUUUUUAUUUUCUGAACCUUAGUUCAUAGAGAGCCUCUUCAUUUAUCUGCAUGAAAAAGUUCAAAUAUGAGGAUCUUAAUCUGUGAAUGUUAGGUUAUAAAGAUUAUUUUAGUCUUUCCACAUUUCAGGCAUCAUUGAAGUCUACAGGAGCUGGAGGUGUUUAGUGCUUUUCAGAAGUUUUCAAUAUGAAAACUAAUUCUAAAAGGGCUGAAUAAAUUAGCUAUUUUUCUUCCUUACAAUAUGGCUUUUGGGCACUGAAUUAGCUAAGUGAUGUGCGCGUGUGCACUGAACAUGGUUUAGUCCUAAAAUAGAAACUGUGCUAACCCACUAUCAUAUUCUAAAUCGAGAACAUAAUUUGUGAAUUACUGAAGAAGUCUCGAGCAUGGCUUGAGAGAGUUCACCACAGAUGCUACAAAGCAAUUAUACUUUCAAAGAGUUAAAUAUAUGGUACCAUAAAAUGAGAAAUUAAUUCUUUCUUGUGCUUCACCCCAUCUUUAACAUUAAAAGCUUACCAUUGCAUUUGUGCUUUCACUGUGUAUGUCUGGUGGUUGUCCCAGUCACCUUCAUUGGCACCGGCACAGUGUAGCUGUACGUCCACAGCACAAUCUUAAACAAAAAUAUGGUACAAUUCAAUCCAGACCUGCCCCCAACUUUUUUUUUUUUUUUUUUUUUUUUUACUCAUUUAUGGAUGAUUCUUUCAAGCUGUCACUAAAUUUAUUUGGAGUAAUAAGGAACAUUUCUCUUGCAUAUGGUCUAAGGGCAAAAUGAUAUUUUUAGAUCUGUGUCAAUUCCUUUAUUUGCAACCAGUCUGCGCUUCCCUCCAGCCAGCAGCUAAGGAGCUGUUAUUUGAUAAUCAGCAUUAACUCUGUCAAAUAGCAUGCAGAAGUUAGAUCUACAUCUUGGCUUGAACUAUGUAAGCAGGCAUAAAACUUCUUCUCCCUCGCACCGCAGCUGGGUUAUCGCUAUGCAGCUUGCCCUGAGCUGUUGGGAAAUACAGCUACAGGGCUUCUGACGUCAGGCUGCAGUUCCACGCAUCUGUUUGGUCUGAGAGGAUGCUUAGAGUAUCCCAUAUGCUAGCCAAAAUGUUUCAGUAGAGGUCACUGGAACAGGCUCCCCACACUGGAAC